CGGGUGAGUAACACGUGGGUAAUCUGUCCUCGACAUCGGGAUAGCCCGGGGAAACCCGGAUUAAUACCGAAUAGCCCAUCCGCUUUUCGGAGCGGCUGGAAAAGGUAGCUUUGGCCUCCGGUCGAGGAGGAGCCCGCGGCGGAUUAGCUUGUUGGUGAGGUAAUGGCCCACCAAGGCGACGAUCCGUAGCUGGUCUGAGAGGACGAUCAGCCACACUGGGACUGAGACACGGCCCAG
RNAcentral lists this ribosomal RNA (237 nucleotides) under uncultured bacterium. RNAcentral's name for it is "partial 16S ribosomal RNA". It matches the Rfam family "Bacterial small subunit ribosomal RNA", at positions 103 to 334 of the family's 1533-position model. The record is from RNAcentral.